CUACGGAGGGUGCAAGCGUUGUCCGGAUUUAUUGGGUUUAAAGGGUGCGUAGGUGGCGUGUUAAGUCAGUGGUGAAAGCCUGCAGCUCAACUGUAGAGGUGCCAUUGAUACUGACAUGCUUGAGUAUGGAUGAGGUAGGCGGAAUUUGUGGUGUAGCGGUGAAAUGCAUAGAUACCACAAAGAACACCGAUAGCGAAGGCAGCUUACUGGACCAUAACUGACACUGAGGCACGAAAGUGUGGGUAGCGAACAGGAUUAGAAACCCCUGUAGUCC
RNAcentral lists this ribosomal RNA (274 nucleotides) under uncultured bacterium. RNAcentral describes it as "partial 16S ribosomal RNA". It matches the Rfam family "Bacterial small subunit ribosomal RNA", at positions 523 to 796 of the family's 1533-position model. The record is from RNAcentral.